UUGAACGCUGGCGGCAGGCCUAACACAUGCAAGUCGAGCGGAUGAAGGGAGCUUGCUCCUGGUUUCAGCGGCGGACGGGUGAGUAAUGCCUCGGAAUCUUCCUGGUAGUGGGGGAUAACGUCCGGAAACGGGCGCUAAUACCGCAUACGUCCUGAGGGAGAAAGUGGGGGAUCUUCGGACCUCACGCUAUCAGAUGAGCCUAGGUCGGAUUAGCUAGUUGGUGGGGUAAAGGCCUACCAAGGCGACGAUCCGUAACUGGUCUGAGAGGAUGAUCAGUCACACUGGAACUGAGACACGGUCCAGACUCCUACGGGAGGCAGCAGUGGGGAAUAUUGGACAAUGGGCGAAAGCCUGAUCCAGCCAUGCCGCGUGUGUGAAGAAGGUCUUCGGAUUGUAAAGCACUUUAAGUUGGGAGGAAGGGCAGUAAGUUAAUACCUUGCUGUUUUGACGUUACCAACAGAAUAAGCACCGGCUAACUUCGUG
RNAcentral lists this ribosomal RNA (483 nucleotides) under uncultured bacterium. RNAcentral describes it as "partial 16S ribosomal RNA". It matches the Rfam family "Bacterial small subunit ribosomal RNA", at positions 30 to 507 of the family's 1533-position model. The record is from RNAcentral.